GCUUAAAAGGAAUGGAGCAAAUGAGGAUUCUCAUAAUGGAAUCUUAGAAAACUACAGAAACACAAUAAGUUGUAACCUAGAAAUUACUGCAACUGGAAUUGCUGAAAAAGCGUGAAAAGAGUUGUCAAGAUCAAAAAUGAAAAUAUUUAUUGCCGUGGUAUUGAUGUCGAUGUUAAAUUCUGGAGAGGUUUCAUCGUUAGAUUGGAUGGAUGAAGAAUCUAGCUGGAGAUGGCUAGAUGAACAUUGUAAAAAACUUGGUGUGCUGGCAGUAACUGACAAUCCAACAGCUCUCUAUACUGUGAACAAAUGGAAAUGCAAAGACUUCAAACCUACGCGCAUUAGUACAGUUGAAUGCCACAGAUUAUGCCCACGUAUUUGGCUGGGAACCCAGAGAACAUUGGUAAUGCGGAACAAGUGCGACUACAUCGGAUUAACCCUACGAAUAACCUGUGAUUGUUUGAAUCGCGUAAAAUAAUAUGUAUUUUCUAACAUAUGUUAGAAUCGUUGAGACAAUACACAACUGAUAAAUACUGAAAUGAUAGAAGUCGAGCUUUAUAGUAGUUUGGCAUAUGUUAUCUAUAAGUAAAUAUAAUAGAAACUGUUCGCGUAUGUUUGUGUAACACAUAGCUGUAUAGAGUAGACUAUUUUAUUACUAACAUUAUUGUAUAUCUUAUUUAUUGAUAAUCACUGUCCGACUUAUGCAACUAUUUAGUUAACAGACUUUCAAAGUUACACAUUGUUUUAUUUUAGUGAAACGUACCUAUUUUACGAUGGUAGUAAUCGGAACCUAGGCUUGAUUCAAGUAUAGUAAGAUUAACUAUUUUCAUAUGUGAUCAUUUAUGUAAUCAAUGUAUUUUUAAUAAUUUACUUGA
Styela clava is the source of this 872-nucleotide non-coding RNA. NCBI's taxonomy places the organism in Eukaryota, Metazoa, Chordata, Ascidiacea, Stolidobranchia, Styelidae. The record is from RefSeq and is a predicted model, not a curated record.